Neofelis nebulosa (Clouded leopard) is the source of this 640-nucleotide long non-coding RNA. RefSeq lists it as uncharacterized. The record is from RefSeq and is a predicted model, not a curated record. The transcript is spliced from 2 exons. Lineage: Eukaryota; Metazoa; Chordata; Mammalia; Carnivora; Felidae.
AACAGGGCCAGGAGGGAGGGAAGGCCCACGCUGCCAGCUCAGUGUGGCCUCCCAGGGGCUGGCAGAGGCCAGCCUGGCCAUCAGGAGCCUCUGUCUCUGGGGUCUUCUAUUUCUGGACUCAGCCUCCAGGGCCGUUGGCAGGCCUUCCGGAACCAUCGCUGACCCCCGCCCCACCACACUCCACAGACCCCCAUGGCUGCCGCUGGGGACCUGCUAAGUGCCGGGGGCCUGCUGGGGAGAAGCUCAAGCAUUUCAUCCUGUCAACCCCAAGCCUUCCCAGAAGCUCCGUGACACAGAUGCAAUUGUCACCUCUAUUUUACAGAGGCUGGAACUGAGGCACAGAGAGGUGAAGGAGAUUUCCCAGAAGCACCAAGAUUUGAAGGCCACCACGAGCCCACUUGCCACAACAGCCACCCGAGAGACGGGUCACUCAAAAACGCGUCCUUGGAGUAAGGGUAGAAAAACCCAAGUGUGAAGGAGAAAAGUGUCCAGGGCCCGUGGCUACCGUCGGCAGCUCUCUGGGGACUUGGCAGGGGACAGGAGAGCAGCCCUUUCCCCCGGCUCUAAAGAAGAGACACGGGAAUAGUUUGGGAACUACAGGGUGACAUUUGGUUCUGUGCAAAGUCUCAGUGGACGGACU